Molecule: long non-coding RNA, 585 nt
Filed under: Chloebia gouldiae (Gouldian finch)
Lineage: Eukaryota; Metazoa; Chordata; Aves; Passeriformes; Passeridae
Description: Erythrura gouldiae (Gouldian finch) lncRNA (ENSEGOG00005011117.1)
Source: RNAcentral
CCAAAAAUAGUCUUUGUCACCCCAAAAAAUGGUCCCUGUCACCCCCAAAACAGUGCCUCUGUCACCCCAAAAUAGCCCCAUUGUCACCCCAAAAACCAGCCCCUGUCACCCCAAAACACUUCUGUUACCCGCAGGGGUCCCUGGGUGGUUUUUGGGGUCCCUGGCUGUGUAUUUUGGGGUCCCUGGGUGUGGUUUUUGGGGUCCCUGGGGGUGUUUUUUGGGGUCCCUGGCUGUGGUUUUUGGGGUCCCUCGGUGUUUUUUGGGGUCCCUGGCUGUGGUUUUUGGGGUCCCUGGGUGUGUUUUUUAGGGUUUUGGGGUCCCUGGCUGUGGUUUUUGGGGUGUUUUGGCAUCCUUGGAUGUGUUUUUUGGGAUUUUUGGCAUCCCUGGAUGUGUUUUUUAUGGUUUUGGUGUCCCUGGCUGUGUUUUUUAGGGUUUUUUGGGCUCCCUGGGCGUGUUUUUUGGGGUCCCUGGUUCCGUUUUGGGGGUUUUUGUGGUCCCUGGUUCCAUUUUUGGGGUCCCUGGUUCCAUUUUUUGGGGUUUUUGGGGUCCCAGGUUCCAUUUUUGGGGUCCCUGAACCCCGUUUUU